UAGGGAAUCUUCGGCAAUGGACGAAAGUCUGACCGAGCAACGCCGCGUGAGUGAAGAAGGUUUUCGGAUCGUAAAACUCUGUUGUUAGAGAAGAACAAGGACGUUAGUAACUGAACGUCCCCUGACGGUAUCUAACCAGAAAGCCACGGCUAACUACGUGCCAGCAGCCGCGGUAAUACGUAGGUGGCAAGCGUUGUCCGGAUUUAUUGGGCGUAAAGCGAGCGCAGGCGGUUUCUUAAGUCUGAUGUGAAAGCCCCCGGCUCAACCGGGGAGGGUCAUUGGAGACUGGGAGACUUGAGUGCAGAAGAGGAGAGUGGAAUUCCAGGUGUAGCGGUGAAAUGCGUAGAUAUAUGGAGGAACACCAGUGGCGAAGGCGGCUCUCUGGUCUGUAACUGACGCUGAGGCUCGAAAGCGUGGGGAGCAAACAGG
This 429-nucleotide ribosomal RNA is filed under the name Gemmatimonadota bacterium. RNAcentral's name for it is "Gemmatimonadetes bacterium partial 16S ribosomal RNA". It matches the Rfam family "Bacterial small subunit ribosomal RNA", at positions 355 to 776 of the family's 1533-position model. The record is from RNAcentral. Lineage: Bacteria; Pseudomonadati; Gemmatimonadota.